UACGUAGGGGGCUAGCGUUGUCCGGAAUCAUUGGGCGUAAAGCGCGUGUAGGCGGUUCGGUAAGUCUACUGUGAAAGUCGGGGGCUCAACCCUCGAAUGCCGGUGGAUACUGUCGGACUAGAGUGCGGAAGAGGCGAGUGGAAUUCCUGGUGUAGCGGUGAAAUGCGCAGAUAUCAGGAGGAACACCAAUUGCGAAGGCAGCUCGCUGGGACGUUACUGACGCUGAGACGCGAAAGCGUGGGGAGCAAACAGG
Molecule: ribosomal RNA, 253 nt
Filed under: uncultured bacterium
Lineage: Bacteria
Description: partial 16S ribosomal RNA
Rfam family: Bacterial small subunit ribosomal RNA
Source: RNAcentral